AUGAGUGUGUUUCGCUUACCGGUCUCUGUUUGUGAUGAUUUAACACGAAUGAUGAGACAAUACUGGUGGGGAGUAGAGAAUGGUAAGAGGAAAAUGGCCUGGCUCAGUUGGGAGAAAAUGAUUUUACCCAAGGACAUGGGUGGUAUGGGAUUCAGAGACAUGAGGGCUUUUAAUCAGGCACUACUUGCAAAGCAAGCUUGGAGAUUGCUUGACAGUCCGGAGAGUUGAUGUGCUCGUUUACUUCGGGCUAAAUAUUAUCCCAAUGGGAAUCUUCUUGAUACAAUUUUUCCAUCGAGUUCGUGUGCUGUGUGGAAGGGAAUCAUGUAUGGAUUAGAGCUGUUGAAGAAGGGGCUUAUAUGGCGAGUGGGAGAUGGUUCUUUAAUCAAAACUUGGAGGGAUCCCUGGAUCCCGAGGAGGCACGAUUUCAGACCGAUCAUCCCAAAAAGAAAUUGCAGAUACAGUUGGGUCGCGGACUUUCUGGAUGACUCUGGUGCAUGGAAUAUGAAGAGGUUGCGGCAAUAUUUCUGAGAUAUGGACGUCCGCGAAAUUUUGAAGAUCCGGACGUCACCAAGAGGGGGCCAAGAUUUCCUAGCUUGGUUUCUGGAGAAGAGUGGACUGUUCACAGUUAAGAGUGCUUAUCAUCUAGCAGCAGAGAACCAAGUGGCACAUGCGUUGGGCGCAUCAAAUACCAGCCCGAGCGGACACAUGCCCAUCUGGAGGCGAGUUUGGGAAGCUCGGGUUCCGCUCAAGAUGAGAAUUAUGGCGUGGAAGGCUAUGUCAGGAGCGCUUGCAACUAAUUCUUGCAAGAAAUAUAGGCACAUAUCCACUCGAGAUACAUGUCCUCUCUGUGGUACAGAAAGGGAGACCAGCUUCCAUGCGCUGGUCACUUGUGUUUAUGCUCGAGCAGUGUGGACGCAUAUGCGUUCAAUGUGGAACCUCCCUGAUCAUCAAUUGCUGCGGGAUACAGGUAAUGAGUGGCUUUUGAAUAUUCUGAUGAAUUGCAAUGAUGAAAUGCGGGACUGCACCAUAAUGUUAAUCUGGAGGAUUUGGACGCUACGGUCGGACAUGUCGCAUGGUAAAGCUAUACCGAAUCCGGCGGUGACGGCCGACUACCUUCAAAGUUAUAUGCACUCGCUACACUUGGCUAGAAGAUACUUUACAGAGGAGAUCAUCAAGGGGAAGAUGCCAGUGUAG
RNAcentral lists this ribosomal RNA (1194 nucleotides) under Triticum aestivum (bread wheat). Its description in RNAcentral is "partial small subunit ribosomal RNA". Lineage: Eukaryota; Viridiplantae; Streptophyta; Magnoliopsida; Poales; Poaceae. The record is from RNAcentral.